GAUGAACGCUGGCGGCGUGCCUAAUACAUGCAAGUCGAGCGAACGGACGAGAAGCUUGCUUCUCUGAUGUUAGCGGCGGACGGGUGAGUAACACGUGGAUAACCUACCUAUAAGACUGGGAUAACUUCGGGAAACCGGAGCUAAUACCGGAUAAUAUUUUGAACCGCAUGGUUCAAAAGUGAAAGACGGUCUUGCUGUCACUUAUAGAUGGAUCCGCGCUGCAUUAGCUAGUUGGUAAGGUAACGGCUUACCAAGGCAACGAUGCAUAGCCGACCUGAGAGGGUGAUCGGCCACACUGGAACUGAGACACGGUCCAGACUCCUACGGGAGGCAGCAGUAGGGAAUCUUCCGCAAUGGGCGAAAGCCUGACGGAGCAACGCCGCGUGAGUGAUGAAGGUCUUCGGAUCGCAAAACUCUGUUAGUAGGGAAGAACAUAUGUGUAAGUAACUGUGCACAUCUUGACGGUACCUAAUCAGAAAGCCACGGCUAACUACGUG
Molecule: ribosomal RNA, 497 nt
Filed under: uncultured bacterium
Lineage: Bacteria
Description: partial 16S ribosomal RNA
Rfam family: Bacterial small subunit ribosomal RNA
Source: RNAcentral